AUGUAAUGCCUACAAUGUUAAUGCAUUGGAUCCCAUUAUAACUCUGUAGUUAAGCACGUUUUAGCUAGAGUAGUACUGGGAUGGGUGACCUCUCAAGAAGUCCUAGUGUUUUACAUG
Non-coding RNA from Picea glauca (white spruce), 117 nucleotides. The record is from Rfam. NCBI's taxonomy places the organism in Eukaryota, Viridiplantae, Streptophyta, Pinopsida, Pinales, Pinaceae.